Molecule: ribosomal RNA, 446 nt
Filed under: uncultured bacterium
Lineage: Bacteria
Description: partial 16S ribosomal RNA
Rfam family: Bacterial small subunit ribosomal RNA
Source: RNAcentral
CCUACGGGAGGCAGCAGUCGAGAAUCAUUCACAAUGGAGGAAACCCUGAUGGUGCGACGCCGCGUGGGGGAAUGAAGGUCUUCGGAUUGUAAACCCCUGUCAUGUGGGAGCAAAUUAAAAAGAUAGUACCACAAGAGGAAGAGACGGCUAACUCUGUGCCAGCAGCCGCGGUAAUACAGAGGUCUCAAGCGUUGUUCGGAAUCACUGGGCGUAAAGCGUGCGUAGGCUGUUUCGUAAGUCGUGUGUGAAAGGCGGGGGCUCAACCCGCGGACGGCACAUGAUACUGCGAGACUAGAGUAAUGGAGGGGGAAACGGAAUUCUCGGUGUAGCAGUGAAAUGCGUAGAUAUCGAGAGGAACACUCGUGGCGAAGGCGGGUUCCUGGACAUUAACUGACGCUGAGGCACGAAGGCCAGGGGAGCGAAAGGGAUUAGAUACCCGUGUAGUC